UACAGAGGCCUCGAGCGUUUAGGCGGAAUCACUGGGCUUAAAGCGUGUGUAGGCGGACUUCUAAGUACCUUGUGAAAUCCCACGGCUCACCCGUGGAACUGCUCGGUAUACUGGUCGUCUUGAGCCUUCUAGGGGCGAGUGGAACAAAUGGUGGAGCGGUGAAAUGCGUAGAUAUCAUUUGGAACGCCAAUGGUGAAAACAACUCGCUGGGGAAGUGCUGACGCUGAGACACGAAAGCCAGGGGAGCGAACGGG
This 254-nucleotide ribosomal RNA is filed under the name uncultured bacterium. RNAcentral's name for it is "partial 16S ribosomal RNA". It matches the Rfam family "Bacterial small subunit ribosomal RNA", at positions 524 to 776 of the family's 1533-position model. The record is from RNAcentral.